RNAcentral lists this ribosomal RNA (520 nucleotides) under uncultured bacterium. RNAcentral's name for it is "bacterial SSU rRNA". It matches the Rfam family "Bacterial small subunit ribosomal RNA", at positions 120 to 674 of the family's 1533-position model. The record is from RNAcentral.
GGGAACGUACCCUUCGGUUCGGAAUAACUCAGGGAAGCUUGAGCUAAUACCGGAUACGCCCUUUUGGGGAAAGGUUUACUGCCGAAGGAUCGGCCCGCGUCUGAUUAGCUUGUUGGUGGGGUAACGGCCUACCAAGGCGACGAUCAGUAGCUGGUCUGAGAGGAUGAUCAGCCACACUGGGACUGAGACACGGCCCAGACUCCUACGGGAGGCAGCAGUGGGGAAUAUUGGACAAUGGGCGCAAGCCUGAUCCAGCCAUGCCGCGUGAGUGAUGAAGGCCUUAGGGUUGUAAAGCUCUUUUGUCCGGGACGAUAAUGACGGUACCGGAAGAAUAAGCCCCGGCUAGCUUCGUGCCAGCAGCCGCGGUAAUACGAAGGGGGCUAGCGUUGCUCGGAAUCACUGGGCGUAAAGGGCGCGUAGGCGGCCGAUUAAGUCGGGGGUGAAAGCCUGUGGCUCAACCACAGAAUUGCCUUCGAUACUGGUUGGCUUGAGACCGGAAGAGGACAGCGGAGCUGCGAGU